This 137-nucleotide ribosomal RNA is filed under the name uncultured bacterium. RNAcentral describes it as "partial 16S ribosomal RNA". It matches the Rfam family "Bacterial small subunit ribosomal RNA", at positions 370 to 524 of the family's 1533-position model. The record is from RNAcentral.
GAUUGGCGCAAGCCUGAUCCAGCCAUGCCGCGUGAGUGAUGAAGGCCUUAGGGUUGUAAAGCUCUUUUACCAGGGAUGAUAAUGACAGUACCUGGAGAAUAAGCUCCGGCUAACUCCGUGCCAGCAGCCGCGGUAAU